GACGAACGCUGGCGGCGUGCUUAACACAUGCAAGUCGAACGGAAAGGCCCUGCUUUUGUGGGGUGCUCGAGUGGCGAACGGGUGAGUAACACGUGAGUAACCUGCCCUUGACUUUGGGAUAACUUCAGGAAACUGGGGCUAAUACCGGAUAGGAGCUCCUGCUGCAUGGUGGGGGUUGGAAAGUUUCGGCGGUUGGGGAUGGACUCGCGGCUUAUCAGCUUGUUGGUGGGGUAGUGGCUUACCAAGGCUUUGACGGGUAGCCGGCCUGAGAGGGUGACCGGCCACAUUGGGACUGGGAUGCGGCCCAGACUCCUACGGGAGGCAGCAGUGGGGAAUAUUGCACAAGGGGCGGAAGCCUGAUGCAGCAACGCCGCGUGCGGGAUGACGGCCUUCGGGUUGUAAACCGCUUUCGCCUGUGACGAAGCGUGAGUGACGGUAAUGGGUAAAGAAGCACCGGCUAACUACGUG
This 468-nucleotide ribosomal RNA is filed under the name uncultured bacterium. RNAcentral's name for it is "partial 16S ribosomal RNA". It matches the Rfam family "Bacterial small subunit ribosomal RNA", at positions 28 to 507 of the family's 1533-position model. The record is from RNAcentral.